GCAAGUCGAGCGGUAACAGAUCCAGCUUGCUGGAUGCUGACGAGCGGCGGACGGGUGAGUAAUGCAUAGGAAUCUGCCCGAUAGUGGGGGAUAACCUGGGGAAACCCAGGCUAAUACCGCAUACGUCCUACGGGAGAAAGGGGGCUCCGGCUCCCGCUAUGGGAUGAGCCUAUGUCGGAUUAGCUAGUUGGUGAGGUAACGGCUCACCAAGGCCACGAUCCGUAGCUGGUCUGAGAGGAUGAUCAGCCACAUCGGGACUGAGACACGGCCCGAACUCCUACGGGAGGCAGCAGUGGGGAAUAUUGGACAAUGGGGGCAACCCUGAUCCAGCCAUGCCGCGUGUGUGAAGAAGGCCCUCGGGUUGUAAAGCACUUUCAGCGAGGAAGAACGCCUAGCGGUUAAUACCCGCUAGGAAAGACAUCACUCGCAGAAGAAGCACCGGCUAACUCCGUGCCAGCAGCCGCGGUAAUACGGAGGGUGCAAGCGUUAAUCGGAAUUACUGGGCGUAAAGCGCGCGUAGGUGGCUUGAUAAGCCGGUUGUGAAAGCCCCGGGCUCAACCUGGGAACGGCAUCCGGAACUGUCAAGCUAGAGUGCAGGAGAGGAAGGUAGAAUUCCCGGUGUAGCGGUGAAAUGCGUAGAGAUCGGGAGGAAUACCAGUGGCGAAGGCGGCCUUCUGGACUGACACUGACACUGAGGUGCGAAAGCGUGGGUAGCAAACAGGAUUAGAUACCCUGGUAGUCCACGCCGUAAACGAUGUCGACCAGCCGUUGGGUGCCUAGCGCACUUUGUGGCGAAGUUAACGCGAUAAGUCGACCGCCUGGGGAGUACGGCCGCAAGGUUAAAACUCAAAUGAAUUGACGGGGGCCCGCACAAGCGGUGGAGCAUGUGGUUUAAUUCGAUGCACGCGAGAA
Molecule: ribosomal RNA, 912 nt
Filed under: Halomonas sp. 65(2010)
Lineage: Bacteria; Pseudomonadati; Pseudomonadota; Gammaproteobacteria; Oceanospirillales; Halomonadaceae
Description: bacterial SSU rRNA
Rfam family: Bacterial small subunit ribosomal RNA
Source: RNAcentral